RNAcentral lists this ribosomal RNA (465 nucleotides) under Vreelandella stevensii. RNAcentral's name for it is "partial 16S ribosomal RNA". It matches the Rfam family "Bacterial small subunit ribosomal RNA", at positions 338 to 795 of the family's 1533-position model. Lineage: Bacteria; Pseudomonadati; Pseudomonadota; Gammaproteobacteria; Oceanospirillales; Halomonadaceae. The record is from RNAcentral.
CCUACGGGUGGCAGCAGUGGGGAAUAUUGGACAAUGGGCGAAAGCCUGAUCCAGCCAUGCCGCGUGUGUGAAGAAGGCCUUCGGGUUGUAAAGCACUUUCAGUGGGGAAGAAAGCCUUGGGGCUAAUACCCUCGAGGAAGGACAUCACCCACAGAAGAAGCACCGGCUAACUCCGUACCAGCAGCCGCGGUAAUACGGAGGGUGCGAGCGUUAAUCGGAAUUACUGGGCGUAAAGCGCGCGUAGGCGGUCUGAUAAGCCGGUUGUGAAAGCCCCGGGCUCAACCUGGGAACGGCAUCCGGAACUGUCAGGCUAGAGUGCAGGAGAGGAAGGUAGAAUUCCUGGUGUAGCGGUGAAAUGCGUAGAGAUCGGGAGGAAUACCAGUGGCGAAGGCGGCCUUCUGGACUGACACUGACGCUGAGGUGCGAAAACGUGGGUAGCAAACAGGAUUAGAUACCCCAGUAGUC